CUGCGGUCUGUCUGGGUGUGGUGAUCCAUCACUGAAGUCCACAUCCAUGAUUUGUACCAAGCAUCAGAAAACCCAAAAACAACUGCCCUGAAAAUAUCUUGAGCUCAAGGUAGAAUCUUCUUUUUGGGGGGCCAAGGCAGAGCUCCACCUCUCACACGUGCCUCAGAAACAAGCUAAAACACAAGCCGGAUCAAACGGCGGCCAGUGAGGAAGGUGUGAGAACCCCUGCGUCGUCGGGAACCUGGGUAGACCUUCCAGGGGCGCCAGGCUACCGCUUCUCCUUCUCCCUCAGAGUGCCCCGGCCAGGACAGAGGCCCACGGCCCCUUGAGGCUGUUGGCAACAAGGCACAACCUAUGCUCGGGGCAGCCCAGCAGGUGGGUGAGGCCAGAGAAGUAAAGCUUACAAACCUAUCACCGAUAGAAACAGGACGGAAAGAAGAGAAUUCCAUCUAUGGAAUUACAAAGCGAGUGAACGAGAAGGUACCGAUUCCACUCAUCAGAGUUUAGAUACGAAAUAACUAUAACGGGCCGUGGUCCCCUCCCAAUUACCCGUGCCGUGGCUUCGAGAACAUAGCCCAGGUGAGAUCGUUUCACAGCACGCCUCUGUGGUGUGUUUAGUCACUAAGUCCUGUGACUAGAGUUCAGCGGGGAACCCUUCACGCAGAACUUCUCCAGCUGGGAGAGGUGCUGCGUUCCUGAUGACUGCGUCACGGGCAGAGACGGGAGGUAUGUCCCGGGCUCCGAAUCCAAGGCCAGCCUGGCCGGGGCCGCCUCAGGCUGCGCGUCCCGUCCACGACGCACGUGGACACUCAGGGCCUCAGGAAGGCCGUUCGUUUAUUGCCUAUUUUCCGGAGUAACCGCCCAGAAAAGCAGCCACUAUGUCUGUUGUAAUUGUCAGAGUAAACAGAGCCCACGGCGAUGAGAUCCACGUAAGGAUACGUCCGUCCUGUGUAUUUUUUAAGAGCCCAUGUUAUAAACCCACGCCUUUAGGGUGCUGUCCUCAGAAGUGUGACCUGGGAAAAAAAAACACACUCGGGCGGUCCCUCGGAUACCCCAGCAGACUCCUUAAAGCACCGCGUGCCCCUCUCUGGCUCGGACACUAACAGACCUGAGCCGUCUGCAGGCCAGUGGUCUCUUGCCAACAGAAAGCACGAGAAGGGCCCGGCACGUCUCUAAAGAGGGGAAUCCGCGUCAGCAGCGAGCGUCUCUAGCUCCAGGCCUCCUCACCCUAACCCAACGUUUGUAUCAGCAGAGGGACAGAAGAGGGACAGACAGCAUCCGUAGCCGGAGCGAACGUGCUGCUGGCUUCUUGAGUUGGAGGGCAGUGGGCGUGGCUGGGUUUCGUGUGGAAAUACAGAAGUCAAAGACGGGCUCUUUUUUUUACAUGUAUUUAUUUAUUUAUUUUGAGAGAGAGAGCGAGCGAGCGAGCAGGGGAAGGGCAGAGAGAAGGGGAGAGAGAAUCCCCAGAAGGUUCCACGCUGUCAGCACAGAGCCCGAUGCGGGACGGCGCACAUAAGCGAGACACUUACAAUUUUGAGAAACGCGAUUAGCGAAAACGAGCUUCCUUCAGUUUCCGCUGACCGCGUCUUCGGUGACGUUUCCACCGUCACGCGCGUCACCGUGUGGCGGCGGUAUUUCUGACAAAUCGACGUGACGGCCCGAGCCAGCCCGCUUCACUUCGCGCUCGGCUUUGCCAGCAUGGUCACGAAGGGGGUCACCUCCGCCAGGAGCGGGGGCCUUCCCGGGUCUCCCCAAGGCCUCUCUCUUAAUCUUCGGAUAUUCCGACUCUUCUCUUGGCUGGCACCAGAUUGCUGGGCUCGGUCCAGCACACGGUGUGAUCUGGCCACCUUCCCCUACAGGAGAGGUUGGCUAAGCACGAUCUGCUAUUCCAGAAACACCCUUCGGACUCAGCAUUACCGCUGCCGUUUUCUUAGGUCCCAGGAGGGAGGUGCAGGGCGUGCCGUGCUCCAGUGAAUACCAGCUCACAUGGAACCUAGGGAGGUUGCUGGGGAGGGGACGGACAGCAGGUGCCAACGCUCCCCUGCCCGUGCGGGAUGGACCCGGGCAUUCGGUACAGGACUCCUGCAAGACAGGCGAGGGAAGGCAACAGAGGCACGGCCCCGCGGCUCUAACAAAGGGGCCCUCGGCUCAGGAACCCGUGAACAGAGGCAUCUCUUGGGCGGAUCUGAGGCACAAAGCACAAGAACAAAAGUGAAAACGUUCCAGGCCCCAGACGGUGCUUUCCGUGGGGGGCAAGCUCACUGUGAGAACCGUGAACCUGCCGUCGGUGGCUUGAAUCUCACGAGAGUGCAGAACCAGUAAGGUUACCAACAGGAAAUCCACAGACGUGGACGCAUCUGGGGGACCCAAGGGGGUGGGACCAGCAAAGUCCACGUUCAGGCACCUCCUUGGACUCUCGGAGCCUCUCUGGCCACGGGCUGAGCUGCCUGUUUCCUUCCUUCCACAGCCUGUGCUUCUGUCCUUCUCUGUCUCUCUGUGACUCCCACGUGAAGGAGGCUGGCAGCUAAUUCCAAAUUCCCAGGGCUCCAAGGCGAGGGAAUCUUGGUGGCCCCGUGGAUCAGGCGGGUGUGGUGGGCCAAAUGGUUCUCCAAGGACGUCGGCGUCCUAGUCCCUGGGAUCAGUGACUGUCCCACCUUACCCGGCAAAAGAGAAUUUGCGGAUGAGAUUCACUUAGAGACCGGUAGGUGGUCCAGAAUUAUCCGGCGGGCAGGCCCAACGCAAUCACAAGGUCCUCGUGAGAGGGAGGCGGGAAGGUCGGAGGGGAAGAAGGGACAGAACAAAGGAGGCAGAGGCCGGAGGGGUGUCGUCGGACGGCAGAGGGACGCGGAAGGCGGUGGCCUCGAGGAGGCAGGCGAGGAGGCGGCUUAGCCCGCCAGGAAGCGGCCCGUCUCUGAUUUCAGCAGAAGGAAGCAGAUCUUGGACUUCUGACCUCAGAGCCGGAAGAGAGUAGAUGUGUGCUGUCGGAAGCCACUGCGUCUGUGGCGGCCUGUGGCGGCCACCCCAGGAGGCUCACGCAGAGCCCACGUGCAGCCUCGUCUGCCGCAGCCUGGGCAGGAGCGAAGGUCGUGUGGCCCCAGCGGCAGCGUCUUCUGGGGUCUGUGUGGAAAGGGGUGCCCGCCAUGGCCCACGGCGGCCCGAGUCCACGCCUCCCCGCGUCCCCUUCCGAUCUCGGAUUCAGCUUCCAGGGGCUCUCAUGCCAGGAAGGAGGUGCGCGGAACAAACAGCCCCGGAGCCGGAGGCCCCGGCCCCCCCGGGGCCAGUCAGUCACUGGGAGCCCUGAUUCGGAACCAGCCUCUGCACGACCACCUGUGUGAGGUCCCCAGAUCUGGCGGAAGAGGACCUCUUUUCCACAGAGCACAGGUGGACCUGUCCCCUCCCAGGUCCCGGUCCAGCCUACCUCGAGGCCAGCUCCCGCCCUCCACCUCUUGGGUCACAGGGUCGCUGGGAAAUUUGUAAACCCGGCUGGAUUCCGGGAGACGCCCACCUCGCCACACCCCACUGGGAGUAACGGAACGACUUUGAGAUUCCCCAAGGGCAAACUACGUUUAGGAGAGUUCGGCGCCUCUAAGCAAUCGUGGGACGGAGGCCAACGUCCAGUGGAAGUAAGGUUUCCAUCACUGGCUGUUCCGUCGCCAUCUCUGCCGCUGCUGUUUGGGUUGAUGGCGGAGUGGCUCGAGCCACGUUGUAACAAGAGGGGGUCCUCACCUCCUCUACUGCGCUUGGAGACCCUACCCCUUUGUUUGUCCUAAACAAAACCCGAAACUCGGCAAGUAAAACCAAACUACACCAGCUCA
Molecule: long non-coding RNA, 3815 nt
Organism: Felis catus (domestic cat)
Lineage: Eukaryota; Metazoa; Chordata; Mammalia; Carnivora; Felidae
Exons: 2
Source: RefSeq, a predicted model, not a curated record